ACGCUGGCGGCGUGCCUAAUACAUGCAAGUAGAACGCUGAAGAGAGGAGCUUGCUCUUCUUGAAUGAGUUGCGAACGGGUGAGUAACGCGUAGGUAACCUGCCUUGUAGCGGGGGAUAACUAUUGGAAACGAUAGCUAAUACCGCAUAACAAUGGGUGACACAUGUCAUUUAUUUGAAAGGGGCAAUUGCUCCACUACAAGAUGGACCUGCGUUGUAUUAGCUAGUAGGUGAGGUAACGGCUCACCUAGGCGACGAUACAUAGCCGACCUGAGAGGGUGAUCGGCCACACUGGGACUGAGACACGGCCCAGACUCCUACGGGAGGCAGCAGUAGGGAAUCUUCGGCAAUGGGGGCAACCCUGACCGAGCAACGCCGCGUGAGUGAAGAAGGUUUUCGGAUCGUAAAGCUCUGUUGUAAGUCAAGAACGAGUGUGAGAGUGGAAAGUUCACACUGUGACGGUAGCUUACCAGGAAGGGACGGCUAACUACGUGCCAGCAGCCGCGGUAAUACGUAGGUCCCGAGCGUUGUCCGGAUUUAUUGGGCGUAAAGCGAGCGCAGGCGGUUUGAUAAGUCUGAAGUUAAAGGCUGUGGCUCAACCAUAGUUCGCUUUGGAAACUGUCAAACUUGAGUGCAGAAGGGGAGAGUGGAAUUCCAUGUGUAGCGGUGAAAUGCGUAGAUAUAUGGAGGAACACCGGUGGCGAAAGCGGCUCUCUGGUCUGUAACUGACGCUGAGGCUCGAAAGCGUGGGGAGCGAACAGGAUUAGAUACCCUGGUAGUCCACGCCGUAAACGAUGAGUGCUAGGUGUUGGAUCCUUUCCGGGAUUCAGUGCCGCAGCUAACGCAUUAAGCACUCCGCCUGGGGAGUACGACCGCAAGGUUGAAACUCAAAGGAAUUGACGGGGGCCCGCACAAGCGGUGG
This 920-nucleotide ribosomal RNA is filed under the name uncultured bacterium. Its description in RNAcentral is "bacterial SSU rRNA". It matches the Rfam family "Bacterial small subunit ribosomal RNA", at positions 33 to 935 of the family's 1533-position model. The record is from RNAcentral.